This 253-nucleotide ribosomal RNA is filed under the name uncultured bacterium. Its description in RNAcentral is "partial 16S ribosomal RNA". It matches the Rfam family "Bacterial small subunit ribosomal RNA", at positions 524 to 776 of the family's 1533-position model. The record is from RNAcentral.
UACAGAGGGUGCAAGCGUUAAUCGGAGUUACUGGGCGUAAAGGGCGCGUAGGUGGUUGUGUAAGUUGGAUGUGAAAUCCCUGGGCUUAACCUAGGAACUGCAUUCAAAACUGCACAGCUAGAGUAUUGUAGAGGGUAGUGGAAUUUCCGGUGUAGCGGUGAAAUGCGUAGAGAUCGGAAGGAACACCAGUGGCGAAGGCGGCUACCUGGACAAAUACUGACACUGAGGCGCGAGAGCGUGGGGAGCAAACAGG